CGACGUUCUCAGGGCGGGGUGCAAUUCCCCACCGGCGGUGAUGGCGCGCAGCGCCCAGCCCGCGAGCGCCUGCCUUGCCCCGACCGGGGACGGCAGGGUCAGCAGAUCCGGUGUGAUUCCGGAGCCGACGGUGACAGUCCGGAUGAGAGAGAGCGGGA
RNAcentral lists this non-coding RNA (158 nucleotides) under Pseudomonas sp. OF001. RNAcentral's name for it is "FMN". It matches the Rfam family "FMN riboswitch aptamer (RFN element)". Rfam says of the family: The RFN element is a highly conserved domain that is found frequently in the 5'-untranslated regions of prokaryotic mRNAs that encode for flavin mononucleotide (FMN) biosynthesis and transport proteins. This element is a metabolite-dependent riboswitch that directly binds FMN in the absence of proteins. The record is from RNAcentral. Lineage: Bacteria; Pseudomonadati; Pseudomonadota; Gammaproteobacteria; Pseudomonadales; Pseudomonadaceae.